UAUUCGUACUGACUUUACAGAUCCUACUGAGUAUAUACAGCGUAUUUAUGUGAGGAAAGUACUAAUUUCCAUACUUUCUAUGUAUAUACUAUGUAUUUACGUGAAAGAUAUACAAAUUUAAAUAUAUAGUCAAGUAAUACGUUGUAUCUCUACGCAAAAAAUACUAUGUUGAAAAAGUGUCCGGAAUAUAUCGAGUAUAAACUUUGUAUUUCUGGUUUAAAGUCCCUACAACUACACAACCUUACUGUGUCGGUGUGCCCGUCGACCAUUUUCUCUCUAUUUGACAAAGUUGUGACAUGUCUGAUGGUGAAUAAAAAUGUGCGUCGCUCAGUGGAAAAAGAUUAUUAAAAGAUCGAGCAGCCAGAUCCACCAGGAUUGUUACGUUCCCGGAACUACCAUCGCACGCAGAUCAGUUACCGAAAGUCCUCUAUACUGGCCUCUACUAUGGAUAGUUGGUAAAGAUUUUCAUGCCCAUGCAAACAAAGCGAAUAAAACUGAGUGCCUGGAUAAUGCGAUGUGAUGCUCAGAAAUUAAGUACAGGAUUUGCAGGACUUUCAAUCUUGAGAGUAUCGCGAAGGACGAAUAGGACGUUCUUCAAAUCUAUGAGAGAAAUAUCCGCUAGGAUAUUCUCCAAUACUUGUGACUGCAGAGGUUGGAUCUAUAGAUCUCACCUGUAGAUCUCUAUCCCUCCUCCUCGAUACUCUACUAGAGAUUGAAAGUCUCUCAAAUCACGCACUUAAUUACUAAACGUCAAAUCGUAUUAUUGCAGAGUUCGUUUUUAUUCACUUGCACUGCUGUGGGACACAAUUUUUUUUACCAAAUAUGUGCCUAGCCACAUUGUAUUUUAAAAAAAAAGUUCCGAAAAUAAAUAUUUAUAGAAAAUAAAAA
Long non-coding RNA from Phlebotomus papatasi, 888 nucleotides. RefSeq lists it as uncharacterized. NCBI's taxonomy places the organism in Eukaryota, Metazoa, Arthropoda, Insecta, Diptera, Psychodidae. The transcript is spliced from 2 exons. The record is from RefSeq and is a predicted model, not a curated record.